This 131-nucleotide small RNA is filed under the name Klebsiella pasteurii. RNAcentral describes it as "RtT sRNA". It matches the Rfam family "RtT RNA". Rfam says of the family: This family represents a bacterial cis-regulatory element known as RtT RNA. The exact function of RtT is unknown although it is thought that it may be involved in changing the cellular response in relation to amino acid starvation. Lineage: Bacteria; Pseudomonadati; Pseudomonadota; Gammaproteobacteria; Enterobacterales; Enterobacteriaceae. The record is from RNAcentral.
UAUUCAUCCCAUGCGGGAAGGAUGAGAGGCUUCGACUAAGGUUCGAUUCGAGCGAAGCGAGAAAGCGUUGCCGCAGGCAACGACCCGAAGGGCGAGGCGCAACGCGCCGAGUAAUCCUUCCCCCCACCCUC